Molecule: ribosomal RNA, 253 nt
Filed under: uncultured bacterium
Lineage: Bacteria
Description: partial 16S ribosomal RNA
Rfam family: Bacterial small subunit ribosomal RNA
Source: RNAcentral
UACGUAGGUGGCAAGCGUUACCCGGAUUUAUUGGGCGUAAGGGGAACGCAGGCGGUCUUUUAAGUCUGAUGUGAAAGCCUUCGGCUUAACCGGAGUAGUGCAUUGGAAACUGGUAGACUUGAGUGCAGGAGAGGAGGGUGGAAUUCCAUGUGUAGCGGUGAAAUGCGUAGAUAUAUGGAGGAACACCGGUGGCGAAAGCGGCUCUCUGGCCUGUAACUGACACUGAGGCUCGAAAGCGUGGGGAGCAAACAGG